This 11979-nucleotide long non-coding RNA is filed under the name Triticum aestivum (bread wheat). RNAcentral's name for it is "long non-coding RNA (TAES_LNC005834)". The record is from RNAcentral. Lineage: Eukaryota; Viridiplantae; Streptophyta; Magnoliopsida; Poales; Poaceae.
AAGAAAAUAUCUCCUCUUUCUCCAUCCUCCCUGAAAAUAUCUCCUCUUUCUCCAUCCUCCCUCCUCAUCCGGCUCCUCUUCUCCAUGCCGCCGUCGUCGCCUCCUCUUCCCCGUCGCUCACAGCCGCCUCGCCCGCUCCGCCUUCACCACCUCCUCUCGUGGCUCCCGUGUCGGAGUUCAGUGCCAGGGGAAGAGGGAUCGACGAUGGCACAACAGAGGAGAUGGAGUAGCGUGCUCCUGCCGCUGUCCGACCCCAUCCUUCCUCCGCUCCUCCCCGCCCCUGCCUCCGCCUUGCCGCAUCCUCUGCGCCGUCGUGCCAUCACACCAUCUCCACUUCUGCCCAGCGCCCCGCUGCAGCCGCCUGCUAGUCGUCCUAUUCUAUAUGGAGCUGCACAUCGGCUUCGGCAUCGUCGCCGGCAGCGACUUCAUUCACCGCCUCCUCUAUAUUCAGUCCCUCUCAGACAAACCCAUCCAUGAGACAUCCAUAGCAAACUGAAACUCAAUUUCAUCGCAUUAGUCAAAGCAUGCCAUCACGUAUUCUUUGCUGUUGUCACUGGAAUCCUUUACAACCCGACAUUAUCACUGGAAUUGUUUACAACCUGACAUUAUCGGGUUUCUUAAUUUUCUCCAUUGGACACUCUCCUAUCUGAAAUAUUAGUCUUGCCUAUUUAAUGGUGGUUCACAUGCAGGUUCAGAGAGUAGCUCACUUGGAUAUGAGCAUAUGUGCAAUCUUGAGUGGUCUCAAGACGAGAUGAAUUAAACAAUGUUGACAUGCUGGUUGUGCUAGGUGAGUUCCCCUUUGAUCACACGUUGCUGAGUAGUAAAGUUAUGAUUGUUGAAUUGUAUGUCCCUGGUGCCAAGUUCCCCCAAAUCAAUGUUUUGUAGCUAUAUGUGUAUGAGAAAUAGUGGAAAAAGAAGUUUCCCUUAGUAAUCAUCUCUCUAUUGAAAUUCUUGUUGUGAUGAUAGAGCUAUACAAUCUAGAAUUCAGGGAAUUAUGUUUUUCAAUGUUAACUUUCACCAACAAAAAAACUGAAUUUUCUGCAAUAAGCUUCAGUGGAAAUUACGGUAACCAUUUUUUUAUUACUGAAGCUCCUCGUCCAAUUCCGCGUCAAUGUAACAGAAAAGUAAAAAAUUAAAAACAUAUGUGCUGAAUUUUGGUGCCAAGUACAUGCCUUUCAGAUAUAUUAUUGCCUACUUAAGAUGAAGCCAGUCACAUUUCUCAUUACACAGGAUGAUUUUGUCAUGUGUCAUGCUUCAAGAAAAGCAGGCUGGUCUUACAUCUAUUUGGAAUAUUUAGAUGGCCAAGGUCAAAGAGUAUCAAGGUGCUUCUAACUGAUCUCACUCUUAUUAUUUGUGGUUGCCAAUUUCCGUGUUUCGAAGGGAAAAAAUGCACUGCUGCUUCAUGUGUAUGUUGGUUUAAAUAUGAUACAAUAGUUUGCGCAUUGUGUAUCCUAUAUGCCCAAUGGUUUCCUGAUCUAGGGCUUAUAUUGUGUACUAAAAUAAUCCUAUUUUCUUUGAAAAGUGGGUUUUUAUUGGAAAUACGUCAAACCUUUACUUUUUGAUUUUUGUUUCUUUCAGUUUCAUUUUAUGCCACUUUCAGGUUAAAAGUAGAAAAUAUACAUGGUUCUCAAUGUUUUAUGCUUUGGUUAUUUGGAGUUACCCUCAAACUAAUGCCAGCCUCCAUUUGUCCAAUCCAAAGUAAACCUAUGUGCAUGUCUACUAUAUUGUGCGCGAGUAAGCAAAAUUUUAUAUUGGCAUGUGGAACUGUUACUUGGUCCAUGUUUAGCACUUGGCAGAUGAACCUGGAAUGUGAACCAUGCAUAAAUAGCAAGGCAUGAUGAUUAGUAAAUUGUGUUAAUACUCGGUACUUUUCUUCCAACUAAAGUAUAGCUCCAGUUCAGAUGUUAGUUACAUUAUGUCUACUUGAAUUUAGUGCAUUUUUUUGGUGCCCUCUUUCUGUGUUGAAAAUAUGUAAAUUGAUGCAUCCUGUGUAGCUUGUCACUCUGUUUCUACUUGGCAAGGUCUGCAAUAGAUUAUAUAUGCAUUACAUGGUCUGCUUCUUUUGCCUGCGUCAACAUAUGUAUGUUGUUCGUAUUGUCUUUUCAUGCUUAUUUUUUCAGGGAUCCCUCACCCUCUUAAUUCAUUCGUAUUCUUUCCUUCUUAGUUGCAGUGUUGCAAGGUAUACCCUGCCUUGGAGAAGGGCAUUCUGUGGGCUGCUUCUACAGGUUACAUAUAGUUUUCCCACUGCUUCUCCUAAUUAUGCACAAUGCCAAAACCAGACAGAAAAGAGUGGGCACUAUUAGUUUUACUUUCUUAUCUGCUAUCAUAUUUUAUUCUUUACAGAGUAUCAAAUCUGAGAUCAAUCCAGUUUUGAGUUAGGUUACCUAAAGACUCCAUGCACCUCUUCGUCACAUGUCCACUUGCCAACAUGAUAUGGCAACGAAUCGGGUCCUGCCGCAGACCGACGAUAUCACUGAGCUUUGGGAAGCUCCCCUGCCUCAUCACCCCCCCCCCUCCCACACACACACACAAAAAGCAUGGUCCUUGGUCCUCAUGGCACUGCUAUGGAAGAUAUGGGCAGCACACAAUGAUAUGUUGUUUAGGAGUGUUGAUCAAUGUUCUGUAAUAACCCUCCGGGCCCUUAUUUCUUAUUUGGAUCUUUUGUCACACCGUCUCAUGGAGACAAGUGACAAGGAGGACGUCUUCUCGUGGCGUUCCUACCUCUGGGGGAGAUCCCCCCCACCCCCGGGUGAUUCUCAAUAAAAGGUCCAGUUUUGAGUUUUGACACCCAUUAAUGAUGCAUUCAUGUUAUGAGUUACAAAAUACUAAAUCUAAAAUGACAUGGUUUUAGAAAGUUGGGUGGGUUGAAAGAACCAAACUGUUUCAAGUUACACGUCUUCUCUGAAGGAAAUAUGCCCUAGAGUCAAUAAUAAAGUUAUUAUUUAUUUCCUUAUAUCAUGAUAAAUGUUUAUUAUUCAUGCUAGAAUUGUAUUAACCGGAAACAUAAUAUAUGUGUGAAUACAUAGACAAACAGAGUGUCACUAGUAUGCCUCUACUUGACUAGCUCAUUAAUUAAAGAUGGUUAUGUUUCCUAACCAUGAACAAGGAGUUGUUAUUUGAUUAAUGGGAUCACAUCAUUAGGUGAAUGAUCUGAUUGACAUGACCCAUUUCAUUAGCUUAGCACCCGAUCGUUUAGUAUGUUACUAUUGCUUUCUUCAUGAUUUAUACAUGUUCCUAUGACUAUGAGAUUAUGCAACUCCCGUUUGCCGGAGGAACACUUUGUGUGCUACCAAACGUCACAACGUAAAUGGGUGAUUAUAAAGGUGCUUUACAGGUGUUUCCAAAGGUACAUGUUGGGUUGGCGAAUUUGGAGAUUAGAAUUUGUCACUCCGAUUGUCGGAGAGGUAUUUCUGGGCCCUCUCGGUAAUGCACAUCACAUAAGCCUUGCAAGCAUUGCAACUAAUGAGUUAGUUGCGAGAUGAUGUAUUACGGAACGAGUAAAGAGACUUGCCGGUAACGAGAUUGAACUAGGUAUUGAGAUACCGAUGAUCGAAUCUCGGGUAAGUAACAUACCGAUGACAAAGGGAACAACGUAUGUUGUUAUGCGGUCUGACCGAUAAAGAUCUUCGUAGAAUAUGUAGGAGCCAAUAUGAGCAUCCAGGUUCCGCUAUUGGUUAUUGAUCGGAGACGUGUCUCGGUCAUGUCUACAUUGUUCUAGAACCUGUAGGGUCUGCACGCUUAAGGUUUCAAUGACAGUUAUAUUAUGAGUUUAUGAGUUUUGAUGUACUGAAGUUAGUUCGAAGUCCCGGAUGUGAUUACGGACAUGACGAGGAGUCUCGAAAUGGUCGAGACAUAAAGAUUGAUAUAUUGGACGGCUAUAUUCGGACACCGGAAGUGUUCCGGGUGAUUUCGGAGAAAACCGGAGAGCCGGAGGGUUACUGGAACCCCCCGGAAGAAGUAAUGGGCCAUAUGGGCCUUAGUGGAGAGAGAGAGGGGCAGCCAGAGGUGGGCUGCGCGCCUCCUCCCCCUGGUCCGAAUUGGACUAGGAGAGGGGGGUGGCGCCUCCCCUUUCCCUCUCCCUCCCCACUUCUUUCCCCCUCCUAGUAGGAGUCCUACUCCUACUAGGAGGAGCACUCCUCCUUGGCGCGCCGUAGAAGGGCCGGCCGGCCUUCUCCCCUUGAUCCUUUAUAUACGGAGGCAGGGGCACCCCUUGACACACAAGUUGAUCCACGUGAUCAUAUUCUUAACCGUGUGCGGUGCCCCCUUCCACCAUAGUCCUCGAUAAUAUUGUAGCGGUGCUUAGGCGAAGCCCUGCGACAGUAGAACAUCAAGAUCGUCACCACGCCGUCGUGCUGACGGAACUCUUCCCCGACACUUUGCUGGAUCGGAGUCUGGGAUCGCCAUUGAGCUGAACGUGUGCUAAAACUCGGAGGUGUCGUAGUUUCGGUGCUUGAUCGGUCGGGCCGUGAAGACGUACGACUACAUCAACCACGUUGUGCUAACGCUUCCGUUGUCGAUCUACAAGGGUACGUAGAUCACACUCCCCCCUCUCGUUGCUAUGCAUCACCAUGAUCUUGCGUGUGCGUAGGAAAUAUUUUGAAAUUACUACGAAACCCAACAGUGGUAUCAGAGACUAGGUUUUAUAUGUUGAUGUUAUAUGCACGAGUAGAACACAAGUGAGUUGUGGGUGAUAUAAGUCAUACUGCUUACCAGCAUGUCAUACUUUGGUUCGGCGGUAUUGUUGGACGAAGCGGCCCGGACCGACAUUACGCGUACGCUUACACGAGACCGGUUCUCCCGACGUGCUUUGCACAUAGGUGGCUUGCGGGUGACAGUUUCUCCAACUUUAGUUGAACCGAGUGUGGCUACGCCCGGUCCUUGCGAAGGUUAAAACAGCAUCAACUUGACAAACUUUCGUUAUGGUUUUGAUGCGUAGGUAAGAUUGGUUCUUGCUUAAGCCCGUAGCAGCCACGUAAAACUUGCAAUAACAAAGUAGAGGACGUCUAACUUGUUUUUGUAGGGCAUGUUGUGAUGUGAUAUGGUUAAGACAUGAUGCUAAAUUUUAUUGUAUGAGAUGAUCAUGUUUUGUAACCGAGUUAUCGGCAACUGGCAGGAGCCAUAUGGUUGUCGCUUUAUUGAAUGCAAUGCAAUCGCGCUGUAAUGCUUUAAUUUAUCACUAAGCGGUAGCGAUAGUCGUGGAAGCAUAAGAUUGGCGAGACGACAACGAUGCUACGAUGGAGAUCAAGGUGUCGCGCCGGUGACGAUAGUGAUCACGACGGUGUUUCGAAGAUGGAGAUCACAAGCACAAGAUGAUGAUGGCCAUAUCAUAUCACUUAUAUUGAUUGCAUGUGAUGUUUAUCUUUUAUGCAUUUUAUCUUGCUUUGAUUGAUGGUAGCAUUAUAAGAUGAUCUCUCACUAAUUAUCAAGAAGUGUUUUCCCUGAGUAUGCACCGUUGCGAAAGUUCUUCGUGCUGAGACACCACGUGAUGAUCGGGUGUGAUAGGCUCUACGUUCAAAUGCAAUAGGUGCAAAACAGUUGCACACGCGGAAUACUCAGGUUAUACUUGACGAGCCAAGCAUAUACAGAUAUGGCUUCGGAACACGGAGACCGAAAGGUCGAGCGUGAAUCAUAUAGUAGAUAUGAUCAAUAUAGUGAUGUUCAUCAAUGAAACUACUCCAUCUCACGUGAUGAUCGGACAUGGUUUAGUUGAUUUGGAUCACGUAAUCACUUAGAGGAUUAGAGGGAUGUCUAUCUAAGUGGGAGUUCUUUAAGUAAAUUAAUUGAACCUAAAUUUAUCAUGAAACUUAGUACCUGAUAGUAUCUUGCUUGUUUAUGCUUGAUUGUAGAUAGAUGGCUCGUGCUGUUGUUUCGUUGAAUUUUAAUGCGUUCCUUGAGAAAGCAAAGUUGAAAGAUGAUGGUAGCAAUUACACGGACUGGGUCCGUAACUUGAGGAUUAUCCUCAUUGCUGCACAGAAGAAUUAUGUCCUGAAAGCACCGCUGGGUGCCAGGCCUGCUGCUGGAGCAACACCAGAUGUUAUGAACAUCUGGCAGAGCAAAGCUGAUGACUACUCAGUAGUUCAGUGUGCCGUGCUUUCCGGCUUAGAAUCGGGACUUCAACGACGUUUUGAACGUCAUGGAGCAUAUGAGAUGUUUCAAGAGUUGAAGUUAAUAUUUUAAGCAAAUGCCCGGAUUGAGAGAUAUGAAGUCUCCAAUAAGUUCUAUAGCUGCAAAAUGGAGGAGAACAGUUCUGUCAGUGAGCAUAUACUCAAAAUGUCUGGGUAUAAUAAUCACUUGAUUCAAUUGGGAGUUAAUCUUCCAGAUGAUUGCGUCAUUGAUAGAAUUCUCCAAUCACUGCCACCAAGCUACAAGAGCUUCAUGAUGAACUAUAAUAUGCAAGGGAUGAAUAAGACUAUUCCCGAGCUCUUCGCAAUGAUGAAAGCUGCGGAGGUAGAAAUCAAAAAGGAGCAUCAAGUGUUGAUGGUCAACAAGACCACUAGUUUCAAGAAAAGGGGCAAAGGGAAGAAGAAGGGGAACUUCAAAAAGAACGGCAAGCAAGUUGCUGCUCAAGAGAAGAAACCCAAACCUGGACCUAAGCCUGAAACUGAGUGCUUCUACUGCAAGCAGACUGGUCACUGGAAGCGGAACUGCCCCAAGUAUUUGGCGGAUAAGAAGGAUGGCAAGGUGAACAAAGGUAUAUGUGAUAUACAUGUUAUUGAUGUGUACCUUACUAAUGCUCGCGGUAGCACCUGGGUAUUUGAUACUGCUUCUGUUGCUAAUAUUUGCAACUCGAAACAGGGACUACGGAUUAAGCGAAGAUUGGCUAAGGACGAGGUGACGAUGCGCGUGGGAAACGUUUCCAAAGUCGAUGUGAUCGCAGUCGGCACGCUACCUCUACAUCUACCUUCGGGAUUAAUAUUAGACCUAAAUAAUUGUUAUUUGGUGCCAGCGUUAAGCAUGAACAUUAUAUCUGGAUCUUGUUUGAUGCAAGACGGUUAUUCAUUUAAAUCUGAGAAUAAUGGUUGUUCUAUUUAUAUGAGUAAUAUCUUUUAUGGUCAUGCACCCUUAAAGAGUGGUCUAUUUUUGUUGAAUCUCAAUAGUAGUGACACACAUAUUGAUACUGUUGAAGCCAAAAGAUGCAGAGUUGAUAAUGAUAGUGCAACUUAUUUGUGGCACUGUCGUUUAGGUCAUAUCGGUGUAAAGCGCAUGAAGAAACUCCAUACUGAUGGACUUUUGGAACCACUUGAUUAUGAAUCACUUGGUACUUGCGAACCGUGCCUCAUGGGCAAGAUGACUAAAACACCGUUCUUCGGUACUAUGAAGAGAGCAACAGAUUUGUUGGAAAUCAUACAUACAGAUGUAUGUGGUCCGAUGAAUAUUGAAGCUCGUGGCGGAUAUCGUUAUUUUCUCACCUUCACAGAUGACUUAAGCAGAUAUGGGUAUAUCUACUUAAUGCAACAUAAGUCUGAAACGUUUGAAAAGUUCAAAGAAUUUCAGAGUGAAGUUGAAAAUCAUCGUAACAAGAAAAUAAAGUUUCUAUGAUCUGAUCGUGGAGGAGAAUAUUUGAGUUACGAGUUUGGUGUACAUUUGAAAAAUUGUGGAAUAGUUUCGCAACUCACGCCACCCGGAACACCACAGCGUAAUGGUGUGUCCGAGCAUCGUAAUCGUACUUUACUAGAUAUGGUGCGAUCUAUGAUGUCUCUUAUUGAUUUACCGCUAUCGUUUUGGGGAUACGCUCUAGAGACGGCUGCAUUCACGUUAAAUAGGGCACCAUCAAAAUCCGUUGAGACGACACCUUAUGAACUGUGGUUUGGCAAGAAACCAAAGUUGUCGUUUCUGAAAGUUUGGGGCUAUGAUGCUUAUGUGAAAAAGCUUCAACCUGAUAAGCUCGAACCCAAAUUGGAGAAAUGUGUCUUCAUAGGAUAUCUAAAGGAGACUAUUGGAUACACCUUCUAUCACAAAUCCGAAGGCAAGACUUUUGUUGCUAAGUUCGGAAACUUUUUGGAGAAGGAGUUUCUCUCGAAAGAAGUGAGAGGGAGGAAAGUAGAACUUGACGAGGUAACUGUACCUGCUCCCUUAUUGGAAAGUAGUGCAUCACAGAAAACUGUUUCUGUGACACCUACACCAGUUAGUGAGGAAGCUAAUGAUGAUGAUCAUGAAACUUCAGAACAAGAUACUACUGAACCUCGUAGAUCAACCAGAGUAAGAUCCGCACCAGAGUGGUACGGUAAUCCUGUUCUGGAAGUCAUGCUACUAGAUCAUGAUGAACCUACGAACUAUGAAGAAGCGAUGGUGAGCCCAGAUUCCGCAAAAUGGUUUGAAGCCAUGAAAUCUAAGAUGGGAUCCAUGUAUGAGAACAAAGUAUGGACUUUGGUUGACUUGCCCGAUGAUCGGCAAGCAAUUGAGAAUAAAUGGAUCUUCAAGAAGAAGACUGACGCUGACGGUAAUAUUACUGUCUACAAAGCUCGACUUGUCGCGAAAGGUUUUCGGCAAGUUCAAGGGAUUGACUACGAUGAGACCUUCUCACCCAUAGCGAUGCUUAAGUCUGUUCGAAUCAUGUUAGCAAUUGCCGCAUUUUAUGAUUAUGAAAUUUGGCAGAUGGAUGUCAAAACUGCAUUCCUGAAUGGAUUUCUGGAAGAAGAGUUGUAUAUGAUGCAACCAGAAGGUUUUGUCGAUCCAAAGGGAGCUAACAAAGUGUGCAAGCUCCAGCGAUCCAUUUAUGGACUGGUGCAAGCCUCUCGGAGUUGGAAUAAACGCUUUAAUAGUGUGAUCAAAGCAUUUGGUUUUAUACAGACUUUUGGAGAAGCUUGUAUUUACAAGAAAGUGAGUGGGAGCUCUGUAGCAUUUCUGAUAUUAUAUGUGGAUGACAUAUUACUAAUUGGAAAUGAUAUAGAAUUUUUGGAUAGCAUAAAGGGAUACUUGAAUAAGAGUUUUUCGAUGAAAGACCUCGGUGAAGCUGCUUACAUAUUAGGCAUUAAGAUCUAUAGAGAUAGAUCAAGACGCUUAAUUGGACUUUCACAAAGCACAUACCUUGACAAAGUUUUGAAGAAGUUCAAAAUGGAUCAAGCAAAGAAAGGGUUCUUGCUUGUGUUACAAGGUGUGAAGUUGAGUAAGACUCAAUGCUCGACCACUGCAGAAGAUAGAGAGAAAAUGAAAGAUGUUCCCUAUGCUUCAGCCAUAGGCUCUAUCAUGUAUGCAAUGUUGUGUACCAGACCUGACGUGUGCCUUGCUAUAAGUCUAGCAGGGAGGUACCAAAGUGAUCCAGGAGUGGAUCACUGGACAGCGGUCAAGAACAUCCUGAAAUACCUGAAAAGGACUAAGGAUAUGUUUCUCAUAUAUGGAGGUGACAAAGAGCUCAUCGUAAAAGGUUACGUUGAUGCAAGCUUUGACACUGAUCCGGACGAUUCUAAAUCGCAAACCGGACACGUGUUUACAUUAAACGGUGGAGCUGUCAGUUGGCGCAGUUCUAAACAAAGCGUUGUAGCGGGAUCUACAUGUGAAGCGGAGUACAUAGCUGCUUCGGAAGCAGCGAAUGAAGGAGUCUGGAUGAAGGAGUUCAUAUCCGAUCUAGGUGUCAUACCUAGUGCAUCGGGUCCAAUGAAAAUCUUUUGUGACAAUACUGGUGCAAUUGCCUUGGCAAAGGAAUCCAGAUUUCACAAGAGAACCAAGCACAUCAAGAGACGCUUCAAUUCCAUCCGGGAUCUAGUCCAGGUGGGAGACAUAGAGAUUUGCAAGAUACAUACGGAUCUGAAUGUUGCAGACCCGUUGACUAAGCCUCUUCCACGAGCAAAACAUGAUCAGCACCAAGGCUCCAUGGGUGUUAGAAUCAUUACUGUGUAAUCUAGAUUAUUGACUCUAGUGCAAGUGAGAGACUGAAAGAAAUAUGCCCUAGAGGCAAUAAUAAAGUUAUUAUUUAUUUCCUUAUAUCAUGAUAAAUGUUUAUUAUUCAUGCUAGAAUUGUAUUAACCGGAAACAUAAUACAUGUGUGAAUACAUAGACAAACAGAGUGUCACUAGUAUGCCUCUACUUGACUAGCUCGUUAAUCAAAGAUGGUUAUGUUUCCUAACCAUGAACAAGGAGUUGUUAUUUGAUUAACGGGAUCACAUCAUUAGGUGAAUGAUCUGAUUGACAUGACCCAUUCCAUUAGCUUAGCACCCGAUCGUUUAGUAUGUUGCUAUUGCUUUCUUCAUGACUUAUACAUGUUCCUAUGACUAUGAGAUUAUGCAUCUCCCGUUUGCCGGAGGAACACUUUGUGUGCUACCAAACGUCACAACGUAAAUGGGUGAUUAUAAAGGUGCUCUACAGGUGUCUCCAAAGGUACAUGUUGGGUUGGCGUCCCGGAUGUACCGAAAUUAGUUCGAAGUCCCGGAUGUGAUCACGGACAUGACGAGGAGUCUCUAAAUGGUCGAGACAUAAAGAUUGAUAUAUUAGACGGCUAUAUUCGGACACCGGAAGUGUUCCAGAUGAUUUCGGAGAAAACCGGAGAGCCGGAGGGUUACCGGAACCCCCCGGGAGAAGUAAUGGGCCAUAUGGGCCUUAGUGGAGAGAGAGAGGGGCAGCCAGAGAUGGGCUGCGCGCCUCCUCCCCCCUGGUCCGAAUUGGAAUAGGAGAGGGGGGCGGCGCCCCCCCCCCCCUUCCCUCUCCCUCCCCACUUCUUUCCCCCUCCUAGUAGGAGUCCUACUCCUACUAGGAGGAGGACUCCUUGGCGCGCCAUAGAAGGGCCGGCCGGCCUCCUCCCCUUGAUCCUUUAUAUAAGGGGGCAGGGGGCACCCCUUGACACACAAGUUGAUCCACGUGAUCAUAUUCUUAGCCGUGUGCGGUGCCCCCUUCCACCAUAAUCCUCGAUAAUAUUGUAGCGGUGCUUAGGCGAAGCCCUGCGACAGUAGAACAUCAAGAUUGUCACCACGCCGUCGUGCUGAUGGAACUCUUCCCCGACACUUUGCUGGAUCGGAGUCCGGGGAUCGUCAUCGAGCUGAACGUGUGCUAAAACUCGGAGGUGCUGUAGUUUCGGUGCUUGAUCGGUCGGGCCAUGAAGAUGUACAACUACAUCAACCACGUUGUGCUAACGCUUCCGUUGUCGAUCUACAAGGGUACGUAGAUCACACUCCCCCCUCUCGUUGCUAUGCAUCACCAUGAUCUUGCGUGUGCGUAGGAAUUUUUUUGAAAUUACUACGAAACCCAACAUUCUCUGUCGUGGGCUAAAAGCUAUAUAUGUUUGCCUCGAUGAAUUUUCGAAAUAAAAUACAGUAUGCCUUUAUUUACCAUGGAUUGACGGAGUUCACGUGUGUUUUCAUUGGUUUUUUAAAUGAUUUCUUAAGGGGCCUUCUAUGAUUUCCCACUAUAUGAUUUAUUUGGGCAUGAGGGUGGCUCUUUUGAGUGAAUGUUUGGAAUAAGCAGUAAGUUGAAAGGUGCCGGAAAUAACUCUAUCCUGGCAAGAUGUGAGUCUCCGUUGUCCAGUCACUAUACACCAAUGAGGUGGUGUUGGAAACUAUGAAAUUGGCUUUCUCUUAAUUUUCUUAUUAUAGAUGUGUAUUUAAUUUGGAUCCUCGAUGAUGUCUAUAUGUAAUAUGUAUAUCUAGAAGUAGUGUUUUUUUGUGUGUAUUAUGAUCCCUCGUUAGAACAAAAAUAGUAUACAUUUACUAUUUUGGACCAUAAUUCAUUGAGUGAAAUUGCAAGCAUUUGCAACUUUUCACCAGUUAUAAUUUCAAAGAGGGUUUUAUACAGGCUCUAUUUUCAUUUGAUCUGUCCAUGGCAUCCUUGCAUUAAUAUUAUGACAUUGUUUAUUCAUGUUCAGAUAUUCUAUUCAGUGUAAUGCUACAUGUAUGUGCUUAUUAGGUCAUCCUACUAUUUGUAAUAAAAUCCGCGUUGCAUUAUCUUUCCAUCUAAUCUCUCUACUUACUCACUACUAACAUCGCUUCUAACUGGCUUCUUGCGCCAUUGGCGCAACCGGGUCAUCUAGUAUAAAUAACAGAGGGUAAAAGU